This 495-nucleotide ribosomal RNA is filed under the name uncultured bacterium. RNAcentral's name for it is "partial 16S ribosomal RNA". It matches the Rfam family "Bacterial small subunit ribosomal RNA", at positions 28 to 507 of the family's 1533-position model. The record is from RNAcentral.
GACGAACGCUGGCGGCGUGCCUAAUACAUGCAAGUAGAACGCUGAAGGAGGAGCUUGUUCUUCUGGAUGAGUUGCGAACGGGUGAGUAACGCGUAGGUAACCUGCCUGGUAGCGGGGGAUAACUAUUGGAAACGAUAGCUAAUACCGCAUAAGAGUAGAUGUUGCAUGACAUUUGCUUAAAAGGUGCAAUUGCAUCACUACCAGAUGGACCUGCGUUGUAUUAGCUAGUUGGUGGGGUAACGGCUCACCAAGGCGACGAUACAUAGCCGACCUGAGAGGGUGAUCGGCCACACUGGGACUGAGACACGGCCCAGACUCCUACGGGAGGCAGCAGUAGGGAAUCUUCGGCAAUGGACGGAAGUCUGACCGAGCAACGCCGCGUGAGUGAAGAAGGUUUUCGGAUCGUAAAGCUCUGUUGUAAGAGAAGAACGAGUGUGAGAGUGGAAAGUUCACACUGUGACGGUAUCUUACCAGAAAGGGACGGCUAACUACGUG